AUGCUCAUUUUGGCAGCAUGUAUGUUAAAAUUGGAAUGAUACAGAGAAUAUCAGCAGCAGGGCCACUGUGCAAGGAUGACAUGCAAAUUCUGAAACUUUCCAUAUUGUU
This 109-nucleotide small nuclear RNA is filed under the name Sciurus vulgaris (Eurasian red squirrel). Lineage: Eukaryota; Metazoa; Chordata; Mammalia; Rodentia; Sciuridae. The record is from RNAcentral.